UGCAAGUCGAGCGGGGAAGAGUAGCUUGCUACUUUACCUAGCGGCGGACGGGUGAGUAAUGCUUAGGAAUCUGCCUAUUAGUGGGGGACAACAUCUCGAAAGGGAUGCUAAUACCGCAUACGUCCUACGGGAGAAAGCAGGGGACCUUCGGGCCUUGCGCUAAUAGAUGAGCCUAAGUCGGAUUAGCUAGUUGGUGGGGUAAAGGCCUACCAAGGCGACGAUCUGUAGCGGGUCUGAGAGGAUGAUCCGCCACACUGGGACUGAGACACGGCCCAGACUCCUACGGGAGGCAGCAGUGGGGAAUAUUGGACAAUGGGGGGAACCCUGAUCCAGCCAUGCCGCGUGUGUGAAGAAGGCCUUUUGGUUGUAAAGCACUUUAAGCGAGGAGGAGGCUACCGAGAUUAAUACUCUUGGAUAGUGGACGUUACUCGCAGAAUAAGCACCGGCUAACUCUGUGCCAGCAGCCGCGGUAAUACAGAGGGUGCAAGCGUUAAUCGGAUUUACUGGGCGUAAAGCGCGCGUAGGUGGCCAAUUAAGUCAAAUGUGAAAUCCCCGAGCUUAACUUGGGAAUUGCAUUCGAUACUGGUUGGCUAGAGUAUGGGAGAGGAUGGUAGAAUUCCAGGUGUAGCGGUGAAAUGCGUAGAGAUCUGGAGGAAUACCGAUGGCGAAGGCAGCCAUCUGGCCUAAUACUGACACUGAGGUGCGAAAGCAUGGGGAGCAAACAGGAUUAGAUACCCUGGUAGUCCAUGCCGUAAACGAUGUCUACUA
RNAcentral lists this ribosomal RNA (768 nucleotides) under Acinetobacter sp. mf4-1. Its description in RNAcentral is "bacterial SSU rRNA". It matches the Rfam family "Bacterial small subunit ribosomal RNA", at positions 56 to 818 of the family's 1533-position model. Lineage: Bacteria; Pseudomonadati; Pseudomonadota; Gammaproteobacteria; Moraxellales; Moraxellaceae. The record is from RNAcentral. RNAcentral also lists the same sequence under 3 other names.